CUGUCUCCUGAGCUCUUUUGCAGGACAUUUGGCAGCUCUGAGCAGGAAAGGAGCAGAGAGACUGAAAAGAUUUGUCAUGGUUCCUCAGAUCCUCAAAAGGUUCUACAGCUGCACCAUCGAGGGCAUCCUGACUGGUUGCAUCACUGCCUGGUAUGGCAACUGCUCGGCCUCCGACCGCAAGGCACUACAGAGCUUUCUCCAGCAAGACUUUCCGUGCAUUUACUGUAAUCCUUUAUACACCCCAAACACAGACGUGUGGCCGGAUGACAACACACAUCCAGACCUCCGGUCUUCAUCGUCCUGCCGACAGAGUACCGGUGAUUAUAAAUCUGCGUGAUUGGGCCUUUCCCUUGGCCAAUUAGAUGAGGUGAAAUAUGGGAGGUCACGCCUGCUGUGGAGGCAGCAUGCAACCAGCGCUCUGUUUACUUAAAUGUCCCUUAUCAGCCCCCAUCAGAGGACCUGGGACACAAAGAGAAGGGGCCCAGAUUGUGUCCCUUUGUUCACAGAAAUGUGCCCUUUCUACAAGAUUUCCUCCCUUGCGUUUUGUGGCAUUCCUUUAGCAACGGACAUCGACAUUGUUAAGAUAAAUAGAACAGUUGGAUAAUGGAUGAAGAUAUUCUAAACCUUUUGAAUUUGUAUAGUUCAUCAGAUAUUGACUGAAUUAUAGUUCAGGGAUUCUGGUGGGAAUUCAGGUAUUCAAUUUAUUGUCAAAUGGCACUUUUCUGGGGGGGAAUGCACUCAUAUUUACCUUUUCUUAUUGUUUAAGGUAUUUUUUAUUUUAUGUUAAAAUAACGAAAAACAAAUGUGCCUACUUUGCAUAGACACACUGUCACGUUCCUGACCUGUUUUCCUUUUUCUUGUAUUUAUUUAGUUGGUCAGGGCGUGAGUUGGGUGGGUUUGUCUAUGUUUGAUUUUCUAUGUUGGGAUGUUUGUGUUCAGCCGGGUAUCAUUCUCAAUCAGAGACAGCUGUCAAUCGUUGUCCCUGAUUGAGAAUCAUACUUAGGCAGCCUGGGUUUCACAUGUGUUUUGUGGGUGUUUGUUUCCUGUGUCAGUGUUUGUGCCGCACGGUACUGUUACGGUUAGUUAUUUUGUUAUUUUGUAUUGUAUCUUGUUUUCGUGGAUAUUAAAAUCAUGGAAACUUA
Salvelinus fontinalis (brook trout) is the source of this 1142-nucleotide long non-coding RNA. RefSeq lists it as uncharacterized. The record is from RefSeq and is a predicted model, not a curated record. The transcript has 3 exons. NCBI's taxonomy places the organism in Eukaryota, Metazoa, Chordata, Actinopteri, Salmoniformes, Salmonidae.